This 222-nucleotide ribosomal RNA is filed under the name uncultured bacterium. RNAcentral's name for it is "partial 16S ribosomal RNA". It matches the Rfam family "Bacterial small subunit ribosomal RNA", at positions 328 to 539 of the family's 1533-position model. The record is from RNAcentral.
ACGCUCGACACCUACGGGGGCAGCAGUAGGGAAUCUUCCACAAUGGGCGCAAGCCUGAUGGAGCAACACCGCGUGAGUGAAGAAGGGUUUCGGCUCGUAAAGCUCUGUUGUUGGAGAAGAACGUGCGUGAGAGUAACUGUUCACGCAGUGACGGUAUCCAACCAGAAAGUCACGGCUAACUACGUGCCAGCAGCUGCGGUAAUCUGAGCGGGCUGGCAAGGC